CCUACGGGAGGCAGCAGUGAGGAAUAUUGGUCAAUGGCCGGAAGGCUGAACCAGCCAUGCCGCGUGAAGGUCAGUGCCCUAUGGGCGUUAAACUUCUUUUGUGCGGGAGCAAUAAUGGUCACGUGUGGCCAGACGAGAGUACCGUACGAAUAAGCAUCGGCUAACUCCGUGCCAGCAGCCGCGGUAAUACGGGGGAUGCAAGCGUUAUCCGGAUUUAUUGGGGUUAAAGGGGGCGUAGGCUGUGAGGUAAGUCAGCGGUGAAAUGCCCCCGCUCAACGGGGUGAAGUGACAUUGAUACUGCCUUGCUGGAAUGCGGAUGCCGUGGGAGGAAUGUGUGGUGUAGCGGUGAAAUGCAUAGAUAUCACACAGAACACCGAUUGCGAAGGCAUCUCACGAAUCCGCGAUUGACGCUGAUGCACGAAAGCGUGGGUAUCAAACAGGAUUAGAUACCCUAGUAGUC
RNAcentral lists this ribosomal RNA (460 nucleotides) under uncultured bacterium. RNAcentral describes it as "partial 16S ribosomal RNA". It matches the Rfam family "Bacterial small subunit ribosomal RNA", at positions 338 to 795 of the family's 1533-position model. The record is from RNAcentral.